RNAcentral lists this ribosomal RNA (1309 nucleotides) under metagenome. RNAcentral's name for it is "bacterial LSU rRNA". It matches the Rfam family "Bacterial large subunit ribosomal RNA", at positions 1601 to 2925 of the family's 2925-position model. The record is from RNAcentral.
CAAGCUUCCAAGAAAAGCCCUACACCCGUUAAGGCAUCAUGGCCUGUACCCGAAACCGACACAGGUGGGGUGGUAGAGAAUACCGAGGGGCGCGAGGUAACUCUCUCUAAGGAACUCGGCAAAAUGGCCCCGUAACUUCGGGAGAAGGGGUGCCAGCGAGAGCUGGUCGCAGUGAAGAGGCCCAGGCGACUGUUUACCAAAAACACAGGUCUCCGCUAAGUCGCAAGACGAUGUAUGGGGGCUGACGCCUGCCCAGUGCCGGAAGGUUAAGGAAGCUGGUCAGCGCAAGCGAAGCUAGCGACUGAAGCCCCGGUGAACGGCGGCCGUAACAAUAACGGUCCUAAGGUAGCGAAAUUCCUUGUCGGGUAAGUUCCGACCCGCACGAAAGGCGUAACGAUCUGGGCGCUGUCUCGGAGAGAGGCUCGGCGAAAUAGAAUUGUCUGUGAAGAUGCGGACUACGUGCACCCGGACAGAAAGACCCUAUGAAGCUUUACUGUAGCUUGGUAUUGUGCUCGGGCUCGGAAUGCGCAGGAUAGGUGGGAGGCUUGGAUCCAUUGCUUGCGGGUGAUGGUGAGCCACUGGUGAGAUACCACUCUUUCCGAGCUAGAGUUCUAACCCUCGCCCGUUAUCCGGGGAGGGGACAGUAUCAGGUGGGCAGUUUGACUGGGGCGGUCGCCUCCUAAAAGGUAACGGAGGCGUGCAAAGGUUCCCUCAGGCUGGUUGGAAAUCAGCCGACGAGUGCAAAGGCAGAAGGGAGCUUGACUGUGAGACCUACAAGUCGAACAGGGACGAAAGUCGGCCUUAGUGAUCCGACGGUUCUGCGUGGAAGGGCCGUCGCUCAACGGAUAAAAGUUACUCUAGGAUAACAGGCUGAUCUCCCCCAAGAGUUCACAUCGACGGGGAGGUUUGGCACCUCGAUGUCGGCUCAUCGCAACCUGGGGCUGAAGUCGGUCCCAAGGGUUGGGCUGUUCGCCCAUUAAAGCGGUACGCGAGCUGGGUUCAGAACGUCGUGAGACAGUUCGGUCCAUAUCCGGUGCACGCGCAGGAAUAUUGAGAGGAUUUCUCCCUAGUACGAGAGGACCGGGAGGAACGCACCUCUGGUGUGCCAGUUAUCGUGCCAACGGUAAACGCUGGGUAGCCAUGUGCGGAGAGGAUAACCGCUGAAAGCAUCUAAGUGGGAAGCCCACCUCAAGAUGAGUAUUCCCAUGGCAAAAGCCAGUAAGGUCACGGGAAGAUUACCCGUUGAUAGGCUCUACGUGGAAGCGCAGCAAUGCGUGAAGCGGAGGAGUACUAAUAGACCGAGGGCUUU